GGUAACUAAUCACGAGUGGGGGAGAAAGAAGUAUGUUACGUUUACACAGCUUGGGACUGGUGGAUGUUGUAUCUUUUGCUGACCGCUCAAUAAUGCUUGUUUACGCUUUCACAGCAGCAGCUCUGGUUGCAUUUCUGCCUGGAAUGGAGUCUCCAAUGUGCAGGAUUGCAAGAGGCUGCAGAGGGCUGUAGACUCAGCCAGCUAAUCACAAGCACUCCCCACCCCACCAUCAAGGACGUCAUCAAGAGGCGAUCAUCCCUCACGAAGCCACAUCGACAGCAAGGACAUGCCCUCUUCUCAUUACUACCAUCAGGGAGGAGGUUGCUGACGAAAUAUAUCAACUCCUUCCUGAGACGUGACUUUGAUCUGCUUCAAUUUGCCUAACAUCACAGCAGAUGCACUGGCUCUUCACUUAACCCUGGAACAUCUGGACAGCAAAAAUGCAUACAUUAGGAUGCUCUUUGUCCAUUACAGCUCGGCAUUCAAUACCAUCAUCCCCUCAGAACUAAUUAAUAAGCUUCAAGAUCUUGGUCUCAUUCCUUCCUUGUGCAAUUGUAUCCUCGAUUUCCUCACUUGCGGACCUCAGUCAGUUUGGAUUUACAACAUCCACUCCACAAUUUCAAAGGGCUGAUCUUGUGAACUAAACCAGCUAUUGAGCUAAACCAGCGGUCCCCAACCACCAGGCCGCAGAGCAUGUGCUACCGGGCCGCGAGGAAACAAUAUGAGUAAGCUGCACCUUUCCUCACUCCCUGUCACGCACUGUUGAACUUGAACAUAGGGUUGCCAACUGUCCCGUACAUGCCGGGACGUCCCGUAUAUUGGGCUAAAUUGGUUUGUCCCGUAUUUCCCCUGCUAAGGUAGAGCGUUCCUAUGAAACCUUUUGUGCCGAAAUGGUGUGAAGCGAAGAAGCAAUUACUAUUAAUUUAUAUGGGAAAAAUUUGUGAGCGUUCUGAGACCCAAAAAAUAACCUAACAAUUCAUACCAAAUAACACAUAAAACCGAAAAUAAGUAACGCUAACAUAUAGUAAAAGCAGGAAUGAUAUGAUAAAUACACAGCCUAUAUAAAGUAGAAAUAAUGUAUGUACAGUAUAGUUGGGAAGAUGAACGCAAAACCGAUUUGUGGGGGAAAAAAUCAGCAUGUACGCGCAUGCGCAUACAGGUGCCCACGCAAGUCUUCAUGGUCAUGGUAGUCUUUCCUGGGGUAAAGUGUCCCGGGAUUUGACUGCUACUUUUGUCCCUAAUUUGGGAGUGAGAAAGUUGGCAACCCUAACUGUAAAAGACAUGUUGAGGUGAGUUUAAUCCUACUUGAACACGCCCCCCCCCCCAAGUCGGCUGGUCUGCAAUACUGUCAAUAUUAAACCGGUCCGCGGUGCAAAAAAGGUUGGGGACCCCUGAGAUAAAUAGUUACCCAAGCUGAAUUUAGUUUCUUUGAUACUGAGACCACAUUUUGAACACCAUACAAAACUUAAUAAAUUGGAAGAACUGUAAAUGAAUUGCUCCUUCACCUGGAAGAACUGUUUGGCUUUUUGGAACAAGCUUUUCUUUUUCUCUAACUGCAUACAAGAUGACAAGAAGUGGUAGAGUGUAAAACUCUGGUUAGGCCACAACUGGAGUAUUGCGUACUCUUCUGGUCACCCCACUAUGGGAAGGAUGUUGAGGCUCUG
Mobula hypostoma (lesser devil ray) is the source of this 1664-nucleotide long non-coding RNA. RefSeq lists it as uncharacterized. The transcript is spliced from 3 exons. The record is from RefSeq and is a predicted model, not a curated record. Lineage: Eukaryota; Metazoa; Chordata; Chondrichthyes; Myliobatiformes; Myliobatidae.